RNAcentral lists this ribosomal RNA (122 nucleotides) under uncultured bacterium. RNAcentral's name for it is "partial 16S ribosomal RNA". It matches the Rfam family "Bacterial small subunit ribosomal RNA", at positions 385 to 524 of the family's 1533-position model. The record is from RNAcentral.
GAUGCAGCGAUGCCGCGUGAGUGAAGAAGGCCCUUGGGUUGUAAAGCUCUUUCGUCGGGGAAGAAAAUGACUGUACCCGAAUAAGAAGGUCCGGCUAACUUCGUGCCAGCAGCCGCGGUAAU